UCGAACUGUAUCCUAUGGCACAAAGGAAAUCUAUGUAGUUGUUGGUUGCUGUAUCAUAUACUAGACCAGGGUCUAGUGCUGAUAAAGGGUCCACAUGUCCAGCACCAUAAUCAAAUGGUGUGGAUGGCUUUCCAGUUGCAAUAUCUUUAAUUCUUUCUCCAUUCUUGUAUUUACUAUAAGCUGUUGUCAUCAGUGCUGACCUUAUAGCUGCAGGGCUCCAUUCUGGAUGGGCGGCCUUAACAAGUGCUGCUAAUCCACUUAUGUGAGGGCAGGACAUGGACGUGCCAGAAACUAUGUUGAAGUCCACAUGCCGGGUGUCUUCAGGCAAUCCUGUAGGACCAACCUUUCCCGUCCAACCAGCAAGUAUGUUCACACCUGGGGCUAUCAAAUCAGGUUUGAGUAUAUCAGGUGUGAUUAGAUUUGGACCUCUUGAACUAAAUGCUGCUACAACAGGUGAUGGCUGGACUCCGAGCUGGGUGCGUCCAGAUGUAACUAUGGCACUUGGAUUAGGGUCUGAAAAGGUGUACUUCUUUAUCUCCUCGCCUGGAGCCUGACCUACAGCUGCUGUAGGUAUAAAAUGGGCGUCGGCAACCAGCUCUUCUCCGAAGGUAUCCGUGUUUGCUAGAAUCAUUCCAAUCCCACCUGCCUCUCUGACUGCCAGACCUUUUUGUGCCCUUGGAUUCAGCCCUCGGUCGCACACCACAAUCUUCCCCUUGGCUUUUUCUGAGAUUAAGCCUCCUUUCAUGCAUAGAUUACCAUUGGAUGCUCUACUGAUAUUGCCAGCAUAAACCAAUGGGAUUAAGGACCCAGGUAAGGGUUUUCCAUUGUAAAGUGAUUCCCCAGUUAGUUUUUUACCAUUUCCAAGGGUAAUAUAUGAUGGGAAUUGUCGAUCCAUUGUACCAGCCCCCACUGUAGUUAUCCAUGGCGCGACAUUAGAUAAGCUACCCGGACUUGGGCCUCCAUUCCCAGCUGAGCAUGAAACAAGAAUCCCUUUAGACGUUGCUGCAAACGCUCCGAUUGCAACAGCAUCUUGGAAGUAAUCAUUGGCUGAUCCACCCAGUGACAAGGAUAGAAUGUGCACGCCAUCUUCAAUUGCCUUUUCCAUCGC
RNAcentral lists this long non-coding RNA (1108 nucleotides) under Salvia miltiorrhiza (redroot sage). RNAcentral's name for it is "long non-coding RNA (SMIL_LNC005723)". The record is from RNAcentral. Lineage: Eukaryota; Viridiplantae; Streptophyta; Magnoliopsida; Lamiales; Lamiaceae.